CAUUCUCCUUUUCGCUCACUCAAACACGUGUGCAGAUGCAGAGAAGAGGAAGAGAUUUGCCAUUUCCACCCAUUUCUAGCACUGUUUGUUGCAGGAAUGGUAUGACCAACAACUUUUGAACAAUUUAAUAUUUAUUGUCUCUUAUUGCCUCUUUAUGCAUACUUGAAUUUUUGCAUUGAACUUUCUUUUUUUAAGACUGCCAAGCUGUCCUCAAUUGGGGAACCUCUGACUGGGACAAUGUCCUCAGGAUUAUGGAGCGUAAGUGUCAUGAAAAGUGAAACGCUCAGUAAGUUGAUGUGUUGCGGGCCCUCUGGAAAUUCACGAAAUGUUCCCGAGUCAUGUUGGAGAAGGACGCAAAAACUGACCCGUCACACAACUCUUCGAGGGCCACUACGCUCUAGAUCGCCUUCUGUGCUCAGAGGUCCUUGAUGAGGAUCUACCCC
Molecule: long non-coding RNA, 443 nt
Organism: Coregonus clupeaformis (lake whitefish)
Lineage: Eukaryota; Metazoa; Chordata; Actinopteri; Salmoniformes; Salmonidae
Exons: 3
Source: RefSeq, a predicted model, not a curated record